UGAGUAAGCCAGAUGGUCGCGGGCAUUUUGUCCGAGGAAAGUCCGAGCUCCAUAGGGCAGGGUGCUGGGUAAUACCCAGUGAGGGUGACCUCAAGGAUAGUGCAACAGAAAGAUACCGCCUCGUUUCAUACAUGAAUGUUUAACGAGGUAAGGAUGGAAAGGUGAGGUAAGAGCUCACCAGCGAGAUGGCGACUUCUCGGCUAUGUAAACCCCACCUGGAGCAAGACCAAAUAGAGAAGCAUAUACGGCGGCCCGUCGUGCUUCCGGGUAUGGUUGCUAGAGGUGUCAGGCAACUGGCAUCCCAGAUAGAUGACCGUCAAAUACAGAACUCGGCUUAUAGACUUACUCAUAAA
This 353-nucleotide RNase P RNA is filed under the name Thermoanaerobacterales bacterium. RNAcentral's name for it is "RNase P RNA component class A". It matches the Rfam family "Bacterial RNase P class A". From Rfam's summary of the family: Ribonuclease P (RNase P) is a ubiquitous endoribonuclease, found in archaea, bacteria and eukarya as well as chloroplasts and mitochondria. Its best characterised activity is the generation of mature 5'-ends of tRNAs by cleaving the 5'-leader elements of precursor-tRNAs. Cellular RNase Ps are ribonucleoproteins. RNAcentral also lists the same sequence under 1 other name. The record is from RNAcentral. Lineage: Bacteria; Bacillati; Bacillota; Clostridia; Thermoanaerobacterales.